Molecule: ribosomal RNA, 492 nt
Filed under: uncultured bacterium
Lineage: Bacteria
Description: partial 16S ribosomal RNA
Rfam family: Bacterial small subunit ribosomal RNA
Source: RNAcentral
AGUGAACGCUGGCGGUAGGCCUAACACAUGCAAGUCGAACGGCAGCACAGUAAGCGCUUGCUCUUACGGGUGGCGAGUGGCGGACGGGUGAGAAAUACAUCGGAAUCUACUUUUUCGGGGGGGAUAACGUAGGGAAACUUACGCUAAUACCGCAUACGACCUACGGGUGAAAGCAGGGGAUCUUCGGACCUUUCGCGUUUGAAAUAGCCGAUGCCGGAUUAGCUAGUUGGCGGGGUAAAGGCCCACCAAGGCGACGAUACGUAGCUGAUCUGAGAGGAUGAUCGGCCACACUGGAACUGAGACACGGUCCAGACUCCUACGGGAGGCAGCAGUAGGGAAUAUUGGACAAUGGGCGAAAGCCUGAUCCAGCCAUACCGCGUGGGUGAAGAAGGCCUUCGGAUCGUAAAGCCCUUUUGUUGGGAAAGAAAAGCAGCAGGUUAAUACCCCGCUGUUCUGACGGUACCCAAAGAAUAAGCACCGGCUAACUUCGUG